GGGGAUUUAGCUCAGCGGUAGAGCGCUUGCCUAGCAAGCGAAAGGCCCUGGGUUCGGACCCCAGCUCCG
Molecule: transfer RNA, 69 nt
Filed under: Rattus norvegicus (Norway rat)
Lineage: Eukaryota; Metazoa; Chordata; Mammalia; Rodentia; Muridae
Rfam family: tRNA
About the family: Transfer RNA (tRNA) molecules are approximately 80 nucleotides in length. Their secondary structure includes four short double-helical elements and three loops (D, anti-codon, and T loops).
Source: Rfam by way of RNAcentral